CGAGACAUAGAAAGAGGUUGCAGGCAAGAAUCAAGGGCUUGCAGGGGCACCAGACCAUCAAGACUUCCAGGAGAAAUUACGGAAACAUCUGCAAGGUUAAGUCAGGAAGUCCAGGGGCUGCUUCCCAGAGAGGGAAGUGCCUUUCUUGGGACUGCUGCCACAGAGCUGAAACGGUGCAUAACCUGGGGCCAAGGAGGCUGAUUGAAGAUGAGGGAUUAGACUCCAAGAAGGAUCAAGAAUCCAUCAACUCAACUCCACUCCUUCAGCCACACCGAGGAGGAACGUACUGAAUAUCAAGAAUACUUCAGAGGAUCUUGGAGCAGAGAUGGUACUUCCACAUAACACAGUGCACCUUGAUGAUAUUAGCAUCCACUGCCAAUAAGCAUAAAGGUAAUCAUGGGGAAGGUAAUGCAUUAUCUGGCUGAAAGAGCAUUCAUCCCUCAAUG
This is a long non-coding RNA of Pan paniscus (pygmy chimpanzee), 446 nucleotides long. The record is from Ensembl. NCBI's taxonomy places the organism in Eukaryota, Metazoa, Chordata, Mammalia, Primates, Hominidae.